UAAUAGAAAAAAACAACAUGGAAUCAAGAUCUUUAGUCACCUAGUUUAUUACAUAUUCAGCCGAAUUUAGGCAUUAGAAUAAAAUCGAACGUCUAAAUAUUUUAUUUCAAACAUACUCAAGAUGGAAAAUUGAAAUCUAGCCAGCUAUAUCUUAUGACCUAUGAAUAUGUAUGACUUGGACAAAUUAAAUAAAGUUGAAGUGGAGCUACGCAUUUAGACAAAUCAGGUUAUUGUCUCCUUAAUAGUGCUGGUGUUGGCCUGGCAUAAUAAAAAGAUUAGGUUAUUUCACAUAAAAUCUCGGCUCGAUUGAAAGGACUCACUCUGCUGAGCUCAAGUCAUGAUCAAGAGAGAUAAGUAGAUAACACAAUAAGAUUUGAUCGCAGACUGAAUCAGAGAGUCAAUUUGUACAUAAAACCAUCAAUUCAAGAAAAAAAUAAUAAAAGAAGAAAAAAUCAUGUAGGUUGUGACUGGUAAUUUCUGGAAUAAAAGAGAAAUGUAAAAAGUGAAAAUGGGAAGAAAAUAUAAAAUGAGUUAAUAGUCAUUCUAUAUUUAGUUAAAAAUCCAUAUUAAAAAAAAACCUUGCCAAAAAUAUAAAUCGCUAUAAGAAAAACUUCAUGUGUCACAAUUAAAUUGAUGUCAUGCCACAUUUUUAAAAGCCAUGUUAUUUUUUUUUUGAAAUUUAAUGUAGUAGUGAGACAUAUGCAAAUCUUUCAUAAAUAGUGUUUAGGGGAUUUUAUAGAGUAAAUGAAAAAAUAAUUGUUCACCUAUUUCGUUUACUCUAAUAAUGCUAUACAGUCAAAUCCAUAGUUAUUUUUCAUUGUAUUUUACUUUGCCAUUGAUAUGCUCUCAUUAUUUAAUACAAAUCACUAUUUAUCCUUUUUAGUUUAUAGUCCGUCCUAUGUUCGAAGGAUGAAUUCAUUUUGUUCCAAAAAAAAAGAAUUCAAUUCGUACAUUAUUCUAAUUUUUUUUAUAUGAUAAUUUUUUUUUUAAUUUUUUCUAUCAAACCAAAAUAAAUUUUAUUAAAAAC
RNAcentral lists this long non-coding RNA (1027 nucleotides) under Brassica rapa (field mustard). RNAcentral describes it as "long non-coding RNA (BRAP_LNC003690)". Lineage: Eukaryota; Viridiplantae; Streptophyta; Magnoliopsida; Brassicales; Brassicaceae. The record is from RNAcentral.